UACGAAGGGGGCUAGCGUUGCUCGGAAUUACUGGGCGUAAAGCGCACGUAGGCGGAUUGUUAAGUCGGGGGUGAAAUCCUGGAGCUCAACUCCAGAACUGCCUUUGAUACUGGCGAUCUCGAGUCCGGGAGAGGUGAGUGGAACUGCGAGUGUAGAGGUGAAAUUCGUAGAUAUUCGCAAGAACACCAGUGGCGAAGGCGGCUCACUGGCCCGGUACUGACGCUGAGGUGCGAAAGCGUGGGGAGCAAACAGG
Molecule: ribosomal RNA, 253 nt
Filed under: uncultured bacterium
Lineage: Bacteria
Description: partial 16S ribosomal RNA
Rfam family: Bacterial small subunit ribosomal RNA
Source: RNAcentral